Molecule: ribosomal RNA, 185 nt
Filed under: Bifidobacterium adolescentis
Lineage: Bacteria; Bacillati; Actinomycetota; Actinomycetes; Bifidobacteriales; Bifidobacteriaceae
Description: partial 23S ribosomal RNA
Rfam family: Bacterial large subunit ribosomal RNA
Source: RNAcentral
GGUUGGCUACGUUCGGGAGGGAUAACCGCUGAAAGCAUCUAAGCGGGAAGCCUGCUCCAAGAUUAGGAUUCCGUACAGUCUUGAACUGUUGUAGCCCGCAUGUUGAACACGUGUUUGAUAGGCCGGAGGUGGAAGUCCCGUGAGGGGUGGAGCCGACCGGUACUAACGGGCGACGGCGACAUAAC